GAUGAAGAACGCAGCGAAAUGCGAUAAGUAAUGUGAAUUGCAGAAUUCAGUGAAUCAUCGAAUCUUUGAACGCACAUUGCGCCCGCCAGUAUUCUGGCGGGCAUGCCUGUUCGAGCGUCAUUACAACCCUCAGGCCCCCGGGCCUGGCGUUGGGGAUCGGCGGAGCCCCCCGUGGGCACACGCCGUCCCCCAAAUACAGUGGCGGUCCCGCCGCAGCUUCCAUCGCGUAGUAGCUAACACCUCGCGACUGGAGAGCGGCGCGGCCACGCCGCAAAACACCCAACUCUUCUGAAGUUGACCUCGAAUCAGGUAGGAAUACCCGCUGAACUUAAGCAUAUCAAUAAGCGGAGGA
This 352-nucleotide unclassified non-coding RNA is filed under the name soil metagenome. RNAcentral's name for it is "partial contains 5.8S ribosomal RNA, internal transcribed spacer 2, and large subunit ribosomal RNA". The stretch from base 1 to 120 matches the Rfam family "5.8S ribosomal RNA", at positions 35 to 154 of the family's 154-position model. The record is from RNAcentral.